Molecule: ribosomal RNA, 254 nt
Filed under: uncultured bacterium
Lineage: Bacteria
Description: partial 16S ribosomal RNA
Rfam family: Bacterial small subunit ribosomal RNA
Source: RNAcentral
UACGUAGGGUGCGAGCGUUAAUCGGAAUUACUGGGCGUAAAGCGUGCGCAGGCGGUUCGUUGUGUCGGCGGUGAAAGCCCCGGGCUCAACCUGGGAAUGGCCGUUGAAACUGGCGAACUGGAGUGUGGCAGAGGGGGGUGGAAUUCCGCGUGUAGCAGUGAAAUGCGUAGAUAUCAGGAGGAAUACCGAUGGCGAAGGCAGGUCUCUGGGCUGACACUGACGCUCAUGCACGAAAGCGUGGGGAGCAAACAGGG